AUGCAGCAGAUUGGAGGAGAGUUUGAGAAAUAUAAUUGAUAAUUUAAAGAUUUUUUAGGGUCUAAACAAGUAAAGAAUCUUUAACAUUGGUCUGGAAAAGAUGAAACCCAAUUAAUUAUUUAAUAUAUUUAAACUACAUAUAAAAUAUUUUUUUUGGUUUGCGCCUACAAGAAAAGAUACAUAGUCUUGAACCAAGACUCAUUACAUGUGAUUUAUUUAAGCAUACCAAUUAAAACUAAUUAUUGAGUGCCUGGUUUGAUGAAAGAAUUUCCACCAAAGUUUUGAAAUCUUGUGCAGCAUGUCCAUUGGGAGCAGCAGCCUGCAAAAGAAGCUCUUGAAGGGCAUGAGCCUUGCUUCUUAUUUUUCUCCCUUGUUCAUGAACCAUGAUGAGCUCUAAGCUCUUGGUUACCCCAUUCUUUGUGAAGACACCACCAUCAACUCUCACACCAACCUUCCAUAUAUCCUCUAUUAUCUUUGCAUUUGUCACAUUAUCAGCAAAAACUACAGGCCUACAAAUCAUUGGAAUCCCAUUUGCUAUGCUCUCACACACAGAAUUAGCUCCACAAUGUGUCACAUGUACACCAAUUGAUUUAUGUGCCAAUACUUGAGCCUGUGGUGCCCAUGGAACUACCUUUCCAUGCAAGCUAGUCCUCUCAAUAAAACCAUCUGGCAAAAUCCCCCUUAAAUUCUCCCUCAGUGACCAAAGAAAUGGAAUUCUAUUCUCUUGGAGUGCCUCUGCCAAUUCUUUAAUCUCAUUAUGAGGGAAAUUAGCCACAGUUCCACAGCUAAUAUAAGCCACGGACAUGGUUUUUUGGCUAUCCAACCAUGACAGACACCCUGUAGCAUCUGUAUUUGACAAUGGCAAAGGUGGUGGUGGAAUUGUAAUAGUCACAAAACCCACAUUAAGCAAGCCUGGACACCUGGAUUUCAGAUCAUCUAAUAGGGAUUUAGGGCAAAGCUCGUCGUAAAAACUCAUAACAAGAGCAUUAGCUUGUGGCAGCACAUUUCCAAUUCGAUUUAGCAUGCUAGAAAAGAGGCUUUGUUUAUCAUUCAGUGCUUCAAGAGGCAAAUCCUCAAUGCUGAUUUUAGCUAACCCUGGAAUAGUUUCCAGUAUUUUUCUCUUAGAUGAUGACUCAGUAUCUCCACCAUUGCCACCAAUAGCACAGUACUGACGAAUCUUGUCAGAAUAAAUGUGGGCGGAGAGGGAAUAAGCGAGGGGUAACCAAACUGGGAUCCAAGGAACACUCAAAUCCUCCGCGAUUGCUCCUGAAAACACCAAGAAAGCAUCUGUUAUCAAGCAACUAAUUUGGCCUAUCUCUGUUGCUGCCAAUUCCAAGCCUUUUCUGAAGUUAUCUGGUGUUGCCUUUACAAAUAGGUCCACUCUUUCUGUUGGACGUCCUGAAAAGACAUGAUUCAUUGGCACACCAUCAGAAACAUUGCAGGGUUUUAUGUUAUUAGGAAGGUCUGUUGCUUUUGAUGCCGAGAAGAGAAAAUUGUUGGAGUCUUCUGUGCUUAAAAAAGAGAACUGGGUGUCAGGGGCGGCCAUUGCUAGCUUCUUGACAAGGUUGAGGAGAGCCAGAGGGUGGCUGCCAAAUGGGAAUGCCAUGGCUGCAACAUGAUGUUUCGGUACCCAUUUGGUUGGUUGCCUGCAACUUAGCAUUGUAUCAAAUUGAGUAGCAAUCUGAGAAAAGAGAUCCAAGAAUAAAAUAAGAAUAAAACGAUUACGAAAGUAAAAUUGAAGAAGAAGAAGAAAUUGUUCUACAUAAAAAAGAAGAAAUGAAGUUUCAAAUAUAUGGUGGCCAGGCCAGCUAAGGAUAGUAUUAAGACUCAGUUUGGCAUUG
RNAcentral lists this unclassified non-coding RNA (1841 nucleotides) under Hevea brasiliensis (rubber tree). Lineage: Eukaryota; Viridiplantae; Streptophyta; Magnoliopsida; Malpighiales; Euphorbiaceae. The record is from RNAcentral.